RNAcentral lists this ribosomal RNA (465 nucleotides) under Vreelandella stevensii. Its description in RNAcentral is "partial 16S ribosomal RNA". It matches the Rfam family "Bacterial small subunit ribosomal RNA", at positions 338 to 795 of the family's 1533-position model. The record is from RNAcentral. Lineage: Bacteria; Pseudomonadati; Pseudomonadota; Gammaproteobacteria; Oceanospirillales; Halomonadaceae.
CCUACGGGUAGCAGCAGUGGGGAAUAUUGGACAAUGGGGGCAACCCUGAUCCAGCCAUGCCGCGUGUGUGAAGAAGGCCCUCGGGUUGUAAAGCACUUUCAGUGAGGAAGAACGCCUGGUGGUUAAUACCCAUCAGGAAAGACAUCACUCACAGAAGAAGCACCGGCUAACUCCGUGCCAGCAGCCGCGGUAAUACGGAGGGUGCGAGCGUUAAUCGGAAUUACUGGGCGUAAAGCGCGCGUAGGUGGCUUGAUAAGCCGGUUGUGAAAGCCCCGGGCUCAACCUGGGAACGGCAUCCGGAACUGUCAAGCUAGAGUGCAGGAGAGGAAGGUAGAAUUCCCGGUGUAGCGGUGAAAUGCGUAGAGAUCGGGAGGAAUACCAGUGGCGAAGGCGGCCUUCUGGACUGACACUGACACUGAGGUGCGAAAGCGUGGGUAGCAAACAGGAUUAGAUACCCGUGUAGUC